AAGUCGUAACAAGGUUUCCGUAGGUGAACCUGCGGAAGGAUCAUUACAGAACAAAUUUGGUAGACUGUUGCUGGCUCUCUUGGGAGCAUAUGUGCACGUUUAUCAUUUUUAUAUUUCCACCUGUGCAUCUUUGUAGAUCUGGGAUUCAUUUAUGGCUUUUUAUUGCUGUGUUAGAAAGAACUGCUGCUAGGCUUUUCUUCAUAUCCCAGUUCUAUGUUCUUACAUUUACCCUGUGUAUGUUAAAGAAUGCUUCAUUAGGUCUUAAAAAAACCUAUAUAAACUAUAUACAACUUUCAGCAACGGAUCUCUUGGCUCUC
Molecule: unclassified non-coding RNA, 317 nt
Filed under: fungal sp.
Lineage: Eukaryota; Fungi
Description: partial internal transcribed spacer region
Rfam family: Eukaryotic small subunit ribosomal RNA (bases 1-46)
Source: RNAcentral